RNAcentral lists this ribosomal RNA (468 nucleotides) under uncultured bacterium. RNAcentral's name for it is "partial 16S ribosomal RNA". It matches the Rfam family "Bacterial small subunit ribosomal RNA", at positions 28 to 507 of the family's 1533-position model. The record is from RNAcentral.
GACGAACGCUGGCGGCGUGCUUAACACAUGCAAGUCGAACGGAAAGGCCCUGCUUUUUUAGGGUGCUCGAGUGGCGAACGGGUGAGUAACACGUGAGUAACCUGCCCUUUACUUUGGGAUAACUUCAGGAAACUGGGGCUAAUACCGGAUAGGAGCUCCUGCUGCAUGGUGGGGGGUGUAGAGUUUCGGCGGUUGGGGAUGGACUCGCGGCUUAUCAGCUUGUUGGUGGGGUAGCGGCUUACCAAGGCUUUGACGGGUAGCCGGCCUGAGAGGGUGACCGGCCACAUUGGGACUGAGAUACGGCCCAGACUCCUACGGGAGGCAGCAGUGGGGAAUAGUGCACAAUAGGCGGAAGCCUGAUGCAGCGAAGCCGCGUGCGGGAUGACGGCCUUCGGGUUGUAAACCGCUUUCGCCUGUGACGAAGCGUGAGUGACGGUAAUGGGUAAAGAAGCACCGGCUAACUACGUG